RNAcentral lists this unclassified non-coding RNA (215 nucleotides) under uncultured Agaricaceae. RNAcentral describes it as "sequence contains ITS2". Lineage: Eukaryota; Fungi; Basidiomycota; Agaricomycetes; Agaricales; Agaricaceae. The record is from RNAcentral.
UAUUCUCAACCCUCCCCAGGUUUUGUGACCGGGGUAGUGGAUUGGAUUGUGGGGGUAUUGCUGGUCUUUAUGUUGAGGUCUGCUCCCCUGAAAUGCAUUAGCGGAACUGUUUGCGGUCCCGUCACUGGUGUGAUAACUAUCUACGCCGACGACGAAGGGCUGCUCUCUCUAUGUUCGGCUUCUAACCAGUCCCCUCUGGUGGACACCUUUUGAAA